This is a non-coding RNA of Bemisia tabaci, 123 nucleotides long. Lineage: Eukaryota; Metazoa; Arthropoda; Insecta; Hemiptera; Aleyrodidae. The record is from RefSeq and is a predicted model, not a curated record.
AGAACCAGAAAGGUUGAGGAUAGAAGAAAGUGAUUCAGGUGAUCGGCAGAAAACACGAAGUAGGGGAUCCUCCAAAAAAACAAAACUGAACUGGAAUUCAGACUCGACAGAUUACGAUAGUGA